GCUGGGCAUAGUAGCUUGCACCUGUAAUCCCAGCUACUCAGGAGGUGAGAGGCAGGAGGAUCGCUUGAGUCCAGGAGGCCUGGGUCGCAGUGAGCCAAGACAUGCCACUGCACUCCAGUCUGGACAACAGAGCAAGACCCUGUCUCUA
This is an unclassified non-coding RNA of Macaca mulatta (Rhesus monkey), 148 nucleotides long. It matches the Rfam family "Metazoan signal recognition particle RNA". From Rfam's summary of the family: The signal recognition particle (SRP) is a universally conserved ribonucleoprotein. It is involved in the co-translational targeting of proteins to membranes. The eukaryotic SRP consists of a 300-nucleotide 7S RNA and six proteins: SRPs 72, 68, 54, 19, 14, and 9. NCBI's taxonomy places the organism in Eukaryota, Metazoa, Chordata, Mammalia, Primates, Cercopithecidae. The record is from Ensembl.